Molecule: ribosomal RNA, 460 nt
Filed under: uncultured bacterium
Lineage: Bacteria
Description: partial 16S ribosomal RNA
Rfam family: Bacterial small subunit ribosomal RNA
Source: RNAcentral
CCUACGGGAGGCAGCAGUGAGGAAUAUUGGUCAAUGGGCGCGAGCCUGAACCAGCCAAGUCGCGUGAGGGAUGACGGCCCUACGGGUUGUAAACCUCUUUUGCCGGGGAGCAACGGGCGCCACGUGUGGCGCCACUGAGAGUACCCGGAGAAAAAGCAUCUGCUAACUCCUUGCCAGCAGCCGCGGUCAUAUGGGGGAUGCCAGCGUUAUCCGGAUUUAUUGGGUUAAAAGGGUGCGUAGGCGGAUGGUUAAGUCAGUGGUAAAGUUGAGGGGCUCAACCACUUCGCGCCAUUGAAACUGGCGCUCUUGAGUGGAAGAGAAGUGUGCGGAAUGCGUGGGGUAGCGGUGAAAUGCAUAGAUAUCACGCAGAACCCCGAUUGCGAAGGCAGCAUGCCGGCUUCCGACUGACGCUGAAGCACGAAAGCGUGGGGAUCGAACAGGAUUAGAUACCCCAGUAGGC